RNAcentral lists this ribosomal RNA (468 nucleotides) under uncultured bacterium. Its description in RNAcentral is "partial 16S ribosomal RNA". It matches the Rfam family "Bacterial small subunit ribosomal RNA", at positions 28 to 507 of the family's 1533-position model. The record is from RNAcentral.
GACGAACGCUGGCGGCGUGCUUAACACAUGCAAGUCGAACGGCAAGGCCCUGCUUUUGUGGGGUGCUCGAGUGGCGAACGGGUGAGUAACACGUGAGUAACCUGCUCUUGACUUUGGGAUAACUUCAGGAAACUGGGGCUAAUAUCGGAUCGGAGCCCCUGCUGCAUGGUGGGGGUUGGAAAGUUUCGGCGGUUGUGGAUGGACUCGCGGCUUACCAGCUUGUUGGUGGGGUAGUGGCUUACCAAGGCUUUGACGGGUAGCCGGCCUGAGAGGGUGACCGGCCACAUGGGUACUACGAGAGGGCCCAGACUCCAACGGGGGGCAGCGGGGGGGAAUAUGGCACAAUGGUCGGAAGCGUGAUGCAGCAACGCCGCGGGCGGGAUGACGGCCUUCGGGUUGUGAACCGCUUUCGCCUGUGACGAAGCGGGUGUGACGGUAAUGAGUAAAGAAGCACCGGCUAACUACGUG